This is a long non-coding RNA of Solanum tuberosum (potato), 930 nucleotides long. RefSeq lists it as uncharacterized. NCBI's taxonomy places the organism in Eukaryota, Viridiplantae, Streptophyta, Magnoliopsida, Solanales, Solanaceae. The record is from RefSeq and is a predicted model, not a curated record. The transcript is spliced from 2 exons.
ACCUCAAAUAAUUCUCACAGAAAGCCACUUGCAUAAGCUUUGAUGCAGGACAUAUUUCCUUUUGGGCCGAAAUGUGACUUCUACUGAUAGUAGAAGCUUCUUCAGUUUCCGUUGACUGUCUUCAAUAUUAUUUCCUUUUUCCUGUUUACUAUUCAGGGGACAGAUUGGAGCAUUUUGCUUCAGUGGUGACUCUAGUUGCACGAAGCUUGAAAGUUCGAGGUAAGUUAGCUACUGUCCAUAAAAAGAUUGCAAAUGAUGGCUUUUUAGAUCAAUGUUUUUUCUCUGAAAUGGUUUUUCUUUUCCCCGAAAUGCUACUUUCAAAUUAUCUCGUUUACUUUUUCUUAGUAAAUUGAUAACUCUCAAGGAACAAUACCAAGUCUCAUAUAUGGUAGAAAUGUAAAUAAGUUUCUUAAUAGAUUCAUAAGAGAAUAAUCUUUAUGUCUUCUGCAAUUCUGGUUUUAUUUUCAUGCUUUAGACGGUACAACUUUUAUGAAUAUAUGGCACACUUGUCGUUACUUUCACCUCACAAGACAAUUUCUCCGUUCAUUAAAACUUCCGCUAAUGAAGGACUUUAACAAAGAUAGUUGUCAUGAAUAUUUUUGCAAAGAGUGACCCAUUGGCUCUUAAAAUGUCCUUAGCAGUAUAUAUAUUCAUCUUAAACAGAUUCAUGUUUGAAACACCAGCAUGGGCCUCGUCGAAAUGCUACUUGUGUUAGAUGUGUUUGAGUGUCAUGAUUGGCAAGGGAAAUUGCAUGUGGCGGAAAUUGGAGUGGAAAUACUAUUUACUUGUAUGACUAAGAUUUGUACAAAUAGAGUUCAUUUUUCCAGCAAACAUUUUGAACUUUAAUACUUAGCUCCUGCAUCAUUGCCUAGUUGAUAGCUUCUGUAAUGUACAUCUGCUUAUUCUAAGUGGGAAGCUCCUAACCUCAAA